GAUGAAGAACGUAGCGAAAUGCGAUAAGUAAUGUGAAUUGCAGAAUUCAGUGAAUCAUCGAAUCUUUGAACGCACAUUGCGCCCGCCAGUAUUCUGGCGGGCAUGCCUGUUCGAGCGUCAUUUCAACCCUCAAGCCCAGCUUGGUGUUGGGGAUCGGCACAGGCGCCCUCGGGCGCCCGCCGUCCCCUAAAUCUAGUGGCGGUCCCGCUGCAGCCUCCUCUGCGUAGUAGUUUUCUCCUCGCAAGGGCAGCUCGGUGGCGACCUCGCCGUAAAACCCCCAACUUCUGAAAGGUUGACCUCGAAUCAGGUAGGAAUACCCGCUGAACUUAAGCAUAUCAAUAAGCGGAGG
This 349-nucleotide unclassified non-coding RNA is filed under the name soil metagenome. RNAcentral describes it as "partial contains 5.8S ribosomal RNA, internal transcribed spacer 2, and large subunit ribosomal RNA". The stretch from base 1 to 120 matches the Rfam family "5.8S ribosomal RNA", at positions 35 to 154 of the family's 154-position model. The record is from RNAcentral.